GACGAACGCUGGCGGCGUGCUUAACACAUGCAAGUCGAACGGUCAUGCUCUGCUUUUGUUGGCGGCUCGGUUGGUAAACGGUUGCUUAACUCGUGCGUAGCCUCCCCUUGCCUUUCGGAUAGCUUCCUGAAACUGGGGCUACUACCGCAUACUAUCUCCUCCUUCAUGGUUUGGCUUGGAAAGGUUCGGCGGUCGGGGAUGGACUCGCGUCUUAUCAGCUUGUUGGGGGGGUAGUGGCUUACCAAGGCGUUGACGGAUAGCCGGCCUGAGAGGGUGACCGGACACAUUGGGACUGAGAUACGGCACAGACUACUACGGGAGGCAGCAGUGGGGAAUAUUGCACAAUGGGCGGAAGCCUGAUGCAGCAACGCCGCGUGCGGGAUGACGGCCUUCGGGUUGUAAACCGCUUUCGCCUGUGACGAAGCGUGAGUGACGGUAAUGGGUAAAGAAGCACCGGCUAACUACGU
Molecule: ribosomal RNA, 467 nt
Filed under: uncultured bacterium
Lineage: Bacteria
Description: partial 16S ribosomal RNA
Rfam family: Bacterial small subunit ribosomal RNA
Source: RNAcentral